GCCCCCGGGCGUGCAACAAUCUAGUCAUCUCUAACCUAGGUUACCAGCAUGCAUUGCAUGCUUGAACCUGCUCUACUAGGCUUAGCUGGUACCUGCUGCUGGACAUGAGUAGCUGUCGCGCUCUAGAUCGACGAAAGUUCGUGCUCGUCAAUCAUCAAAGCCUGUAACGGUACGGUGACGAGUGUGUGGUUGCAUGCUUUCAACACUAAAUAGUGCUGCGCUUUGACGUUUGGGUCUUUGGGAGUUCGAUCGGGAAAGCGAGUCUCCCUUUCUCAGAAUUAUAUUUCGCUGAAUUCAGCGGCUUACAUACUGCCAAGAUCGUUAUGCGAACAAAAAAAAAAAAGCCAAAAGAGAUCGAUAUGGAAGUAUGGAACAGAGAUGGCACACUAGAUUCGCAGUCCCACUCCCACCCAGGCGUACAAGUCGAUCGAUCGGGGACUGGAGGGCUCGUUCGGUUGUUCUUGGAAUAAUUUGCACUCGGAUUAAUUGUUUGGCUAAUUUAUAGUAUGGCUUUUGAUGAGCUGAAUAGUUUCUAGGUACAUCCAGGAG
This 549-nucleotide long non-coding RNA is filed under the name Sorghum bicolor (sorghum). RNAcentral's name for it is "long non-coding RNA (SBIC_LNC013285)". Lineage: Eukaryota; Viridiplantae; Streptophyta; Magnoliopsida; Poales; Poaceae. The record is from RNAcentral.